GGAUCUUUAAGGUAGACUAUUAAAAAUGAAAACUUCCACAAGGAGACAAAUAAGUUAUAGUUAAAAUACUGGCAAAAAUCUCUAUGGUUUAUACAGUUAAAAUAGAGAGGAAAAUAUCAAGAAGAACAUUUGAAAGUAUAAAUAGAUCAGGGGCCAGAAGUGGACUUUGCUUGUUCUAAAUUAGUUGAGAACCAGCCUUUGUGGGUUUUUAAAGAAAAGUACUGGGGGCAAUGACACUGGCCCAUGUCCUCAGCCCCUCUCCAUGCAGCUCUGGUCCUGUGCUCUAGUCCAGCAAACUUCCUUUGAAGUAUUCUCGAAGUGAGAGACUGGUUCUAUGUAAGAUGAAAUUGACUCAGAAGUUUUUUCAACUGCCCAGAGAAAUUAAUACCUUCAGAAGGAGCUUGAGGACACUGUCAGAAUUAAAAAGAACUUGGUGACAAUUUGACAAUGAAAAGUCACUUUUGAAAUUUCAGAAGAGCCAGACUCUAUGAAGAUUUAAAGUGAUCCAUUGGAGGUUGUUUAAAAUGCAAAAUUCACUUUAAUUUUGAAAGUGAAUUGAAGUUCUUCAACGGUGUUCCUUGUAAAAGUCACUGGUUUGCAUCCUACUGAACCCCAAGAUACAACAAGGCCAAUUUAUUUCUUCUCUGCCUUCCUUCCUGUCUCUGUUAUAUCUAAACCCUUAGCACAGUAUCUAGUACAUAGUUAACUGGUAUGAAAUAUACAUUAAAUAAGUACUGUAACAAUGCUCAGUUUAAUUGCCAAACACAGAUUGGAGAUUGGAAAAAGUAGUAUAUAUUACAUAGUCAUGUACUUCAGAGAUAUAAAAAUUCUAAAUAGCUGUGAUUACUCAUGAGUU
Molecule: long non-coding RNA, 856 nt
Filed under: Bos taurus (domestic cattle)
Lineage: Eukaryota; Metazoa; Chordata; Mammalia; Artiodactyla; Bovidae
Description: long non-coding RNA NONBTAT001696
Source: RNAcentral